This 1278-nucleotide long non-coding RNA is filed under the name Triticum aestivum (bread wheat). RNAcentral describes it as "long non-coding RNA (TAES_LNC008357)". The record is from RNAcentral. Lineage: Eukaryota; Viridiplantae; Streptophyta; Magnoliopsida; Poales; Poaceae.
CCUUUUAUCAACCUUUGAAUGGAACUAGGUAUUACUCUUUGUGAAUAUGAAGUCAAAAUUAAUAAUUAAUAAAGGCAAAAUAUACCUUUUAUGUUUAUUCACAGUAUUGUAAUUAACAAUCACCCGCAGUUGAUUUCAUGACCGGUGGGCUUUCAGCAAAUAAACAAUCAGAAGGAAUCAAUAAGAAUAUAACCCGUUGAGUUCAACAUCCUCCAAUAAUAUAAUCAUGCCUCGAUUGGAAUUAGUACUACAAUAUAUAACAUCUUCUUUUUGUAGUUUAUUUAUUUAUAUGUGUCUAUAUGGUUUUCCAUGAAAAUCCAAAAGGGCCUCGAAGUGUUGGAGCUUGGAUCUGGGGGGUGCAUUGGUGAGCCAUCCCUUCUCCCUCACUGGCUUCUCUAUUAUUUUUGUGCAUAUCAUGCCUUGAUUUGUGCUCAGUUGGUGUGAAAUGUGAAAGCAAGCUAUGUGUGCGAUCUAUUGCCCGUUAUCAUGUGUCACAAACUACUACAAAUGCAUAUUAAUGCCCCUUUAUUAUAUAUGUCUACUGCCUUUUACAUUCCUAGGGCUAAGCCACUACUCAUUCCAGUAUACUGAAUUGCUAUUGUCUGCACUUCUAUUGUGUUUUGUUAUACCUUUUAGACAUGCACCGUAUGCCAUAGAUUGGUAUGACAUUGAUAUGUGCGAAGAGAUGUGAUGUAUCUUGAUGUUUUUAUUGAACCAUUAUCAUUCUGGGUGCAUAACGAUUGUAUGGCACUGUCAUUUCUUUUAUAUCACUGUUUGCAUCACCAGGUGUUUACGCUAAAACAAGUCGGUUGCUGCAAGUCUUGCAAGAAAUUUGGGUGACAAGGCGUCUGGGCGGAACUAUCUAUCCAUCUAUCUAUCUAUCUAAUAUAGUUUACUACUAUACCAUGUAAAAUCAGUGUCUCCACUACCACUAUGGCUUGGUGUGGUCAUGCUAUGAUGUUAGUGGACACGAAUGUUUAGUGAUAUGUUGAUUCAGGAAAUUCGCAUUCGGUUCAGCAUGUAGUGUUAGGCUCUAUGCUCUUAGGAGAUGAUGUUCUGUGAAUUUUUUUGCAACUGUUAUUGCCACAAAAUUGAAAUUUGGUAUUGACAUUAUGAAGAUUACCUUAAGUGUGAAAGAUACUGAGCAUGGACCUGUGUUCUUAUUUAUAGCUCUAACUGCAUGUACCAUAUGGAUAAAAAAUGUCUUAUCAUUUCUAAUGAAAUUAUAAGAUUUCUUGAUCUUCAAUAAUGAUGUGUACAUAAAUAUCACUAAACUCG